RNAcentral lists this ribosomal RNA (855 nucleotides) under Aplosporella prunicola. RNAcentral's name for it is "SSU rRNA". It matches the Rfam family "Eukaryotic small subunit ribosomal RNA", at positions 60 to 925 of the family's 1831-position model. Lineage: Eukaryota; Fungi; Ascomycota; Dothideomycetes; Botryosphaeriales; Aplosporellaceae. The record is from RNAcentral.
UAAGUAAAGCAAUCUAUACUGUGAAACUGCGAAUGGCUCAUUAAAUCAGUUAUCGUUUAUUUGAUAGUACCUUACUACUUGGAUAACCGUGGUAAUUCUAGAGCUAAUACAUGCUAAAAACCCCGACUUCGGAAGGGGUGUAUUUAUUAGAUAAAAAACCAAUGCCCUUCGGGGCUCCUUGGUGAUUCAUGAUAACUUAACGAAUCGCAUGGCCUUGCGCCGGCGAUGGUUCAUUCAAAUUUCUGCCCUAUCAACUUUCGAUGGUAGGAUAGUGGCCUACCAUGGUAUCAACGGGUAACGGGGAAUUAGGGUUCUAUUCCGGAGAGGGAGCCUGAGAAACGGCUACCACAUCCAAGGAAGGCAGCAGGCGCGCAAAUUACCCAAUCCCGACACGGGGAGGUAGUGACAAUAAAUACUGAUACAGGGCUCUUUUGGGUCUUGUAAUUGGAAUGAGUACAAUUUAAAUACCUUAACGAGGAACAAUUGGAGGGCAAGUCUGGUGCCAGCAGCCGCGGUAAUUCCAGCUCCAAUAGCGUAUAUUAAAGUUGUUGCAGUUAAAAAGCUCGUAGUUGAACCUUGGGCCUGGCUGGCCGGUCCGCCUCACCGCGUGUACUGGUCCGGCCGGGCCUUUCCUCCUGGGGAUCCGCAUGCCCUUCACUGGGUGUGUCGGGGAACCAGGACUUUUACUUUGAAAAAAUUAGAGUGUUCAAAGCAGGCCUUUGCUCGAAUACAUUAGCAUGGAAUAAUAGAAUAGGACGUGCGGUCCUAUUUUGUUGGUUUCUAGGACCGCCGUAAUGAUUAAUAGGGAUAGUCGGGGGCAUCAGUAUUCAAUUGUCAGAGGUGAAAUUCUUGGAU